UAAGUUGAUAGUGAAAGCGUCCGGCUCAACCGGAUACACAUUAUCAAAACUGCCAAGCUAGAGGACAAGAGAGGUCACUGGAAUUCCUAGUGUAGGAGUGAAAUCCGUAGAUAUUAGGAGGAACACCGAUGGCGUAGGCAGGUGACUGGCUUGUUCCUGACACUAAGGCACGAAAGCGUGGGGAGCGAACGGGAUUAGAUACCCCGGUAGUCCACGCCGUAAACGAUGGAUGCUA
RNAcentral lists this ribosomal RNA (235 nucleotides) under uncultured Candidatus Saccharibacteria bacterium. Its description in RNAcentral is "partial 16S ribosomal RNA". It matches the Rfam family "Bacterial small subunit ribosomal RNA", at positions 584 to 818 of the family's 1533-position model. The record is from RNAcentral. Lineage: Bacteria; Candidatus Saccharimonadota.